GGAUAACCUUGCGAAAGUAAGACUAAUACCCAAUGAUAUCUCUAGAAGACAUCUGAAAGAGAUUAAAGAUUUAUCGGUGAUGGAUGGGGAUGCGUCUGAUUAGCUUGUUGGCGGGGUAACGGCCCACCAAGGCAACGAUCAGUAGGGGUUCUGAGAGGAAGGUCCCCCACAUUGGAACUGAGACACGGUCCAAACUCCUACGGGAGGCAGCAGUGAGGAAUAUUGGUCAAUGGACGAGAGUCUGAACCAGCCAAGUAGCGUGCAGGAAGACGGCCCUAUGGGUUGUAAACUGCUUUUAUAAGGGAAUAAAGUUAGUCUCGUGAGACUUUUUGCAUGUACCUUAUGAAUAAGGACCGGCUAAUUCCGUGCCAGCAGCCGCGGUAAUACGGAAGGUCCGGGCGUUAUCCGGACUUAUUGGGUUUAAAGGGAGCGUAGGCCGGAGAUUAAGCGUGUUGUGAAAUGUAGACGCUCAACGUCUGCACUGCAGCGCGAACUGGUUUCCUUGAGUACGCACAAAGUGGGCGGAAUUCGUGGUGUAGCGGUGAAAUGCUUAGAUAUCACGAAGAACUCCGAUUGCGAAGGCAGCUCACUGGAGCGCAACUGACGCUGAAGCUCGAAAGUGCGGGUAUCGAACAGGAUUAGAUACCCUGGUAGUCCGCACGGUAAACGAUGGAUGCCCGCUGUUGGUCUGAAUAGGUCAGCGGCCAAG
Molecule: ribosomal RNA, 709 nt
Filed under: uncultured bacterium
Lineage: Bacteria
Description: bacterial SSU rRNA
Rfam family: Bacterial small subunit ribosomal RNA
Source: RNAcentral